CAAUAGCGUAUAUUAAAGUUGUUGCGGUAAAAAAGCUCGUAGUUGGAUUUCUACCGAAGAUAGCCGGUCGGGUCUUCGACCUUGUAUCUGGUUUUGUCUUUGGUAUCCUCAUAGGGAACGUUUCUGCGCUUUAUUGCGUGGUGCGGUAUCUAUGACUUUUACUUUGAGGAAAUUAGAGUGUUCACGGCAGGCAAACGCCUUGAAUAUAUUAGCAUGGAAUAAUAACAUAGGAUCUUCGUCCUAUUUUGUUGGUUUCUAGGGCUAAGAUAAUGAUUAAUAGGGAUAAUUGGGAGCAUCUGUAUCAACGCGUCAGAGGUGGAAUUCUUGGAUUGCGUUGCGACAAACUACUGCGAAAGCAUUUGCCAAGGAUGUUUUCAUUGA
Molecule: ribosomal RNA, 381 nt
Filed under: uncultured eukaryote
Lineage: Eukaryota
Description: partial 18S ribosomal RNA
Rfam family: Eukaryotic small subunit ribosomal RNA
Source: RNAcentral